Molecule: ribosomal RNA, 427 nt
Filed under: uncultured bacterium
Lineage: Bacteria
Description: bacterial SSU rRNA
Rfam family: Bacterial small subunit ribosomal RNA
Source: RNAcentral
UGGGGAAUUUUGGACAAUGGGCGCAAGCCUGAUCCAGCAAUGCCGCGUGCAGGAUGAAGGCCUUCGGGUUGUAAACUGCUUUUGUACGGAGCGAAAAGGUCUGCCCUAAUACGGUGGGCUCAUGACGGUACCGUAAGAAUAAGCACCGGCUAACUACGUGCCAGCAGCCGCGGUAAUACGAAGGGUGCAAGCGUUAAUCGGAAUUACUGGGCGUAAAGCGUGCGCAGGCGGUUAUGCAAGACAGAGGUGAAAUCCCCGGGCUCAACCUGGGACCUGCAUUUGUGACUGUAUAGCUAGAGUACGGUAGAGGGGGAUGGAAUUCCGCGUGUAGCAGUGAAAUGCGUAGAUAUGCGGAGGAACACCGAUGGCGAAGGCAAUCCCCUGGACCUGUACUGACGCUCAUGCACGAAAGCGUGGGGAGCAAACA